Long non-coding RNA from Ipomoea nil (Japanese morning glory), 346 nucleotides. RefSeq lists it as uncharacterized. NCBI's taxonomy places the organism in Eukaryota, Viridiplantae, Streptophyta, Magnoliopsida, Solanales, Convolvulaceae. The record is from RefSeq and is a predicted model, not a curated record. The transcript has 2 exons.
CCAACUUAGAAGGCCACAACAUAGAUUCAUUGACGAAAUACCCAAAGUUGAGUCGUGUUUCAUUCACUAGAUGUGCUCAACUACUUGAGGAUCCACGUUACGGUCACAUAGUUGAUGCAAUAUGGCAACACCUGCUCAAGGGACUGUUAAUUGACCCAAAUCGCAGCAUUAGUGUCUACUUUCCAGGCAUGGUGUUUCCAGAGUGGUUUUCGUAUAAGAAUUGGGGAAAUUCACUAUUAGUAAGUCUGCCUCAAAAUUUGUACAAUAACAAAUUCAUGGGAUUUGCAUUCUGUGUGGUUUCUAACCUGAUAACUACUCCAACAAGUGGGAAAUUUUGCAGUAUAAC